AAACACAUAGUCUAGGAUCCAUGGUGGGCUGGUCCCCCGGGGCUCAGGAAAGCUCUCCAGUGUGGAUAGAGUCUUGUCUGUGUGUGUCCCAUAUUGUACUGAAGCUGAGGUACCCGCAAAGCACAUCAUCUUGUAUUUUGCGCCUUGGGUAUCAUUUGCUCCCUAAGCUCAAGUUUUGCAGAAUAUCCUGCUCUAGAAGGAACAUAGUUCUGGCUAUUCUAGCCUGUUUCUUUUUUUCUUAUGUUAAUGCAUUCUGCAGAAAUUCUACAGUAAUUCUGAGAACUACAAGUUGGAGAGGGGAGAGCUGGGUCGAAAAAGGCCACUUGAGGACCUGCCCUCCUACAGCAGGGACAUUUGUAUCUAAAGAGUGCUGCCUAUAGGGGAGCAGCAACUUGGAAGAAAAGGCCUAAUACUUAAGGGUCAAGGAAGGAGUUGCAAGUGAUCACCCAGCCUGGAGAAGCAUCUGCCCGAGUCAAGGAAACUUUACAAGAGAAAUCCCCAGUGUGCACCCCUAUGAAGAGCCUACAAUGGUAUGUCUACAAGAGUGAGUCAUCCUUACUUCUGCCAGACCCAGAUAGUUGCAAGCUGUCUUUGCUACCAUUUCAGGUUUAGCCUGAAGCCAGCCUGAGCCAAGAAAAGGGAGAAGGUUUUGCUGUUUAAUCAAAGUAGUUUUGAUUUAUAUUUUGUACUGAAAGUUUUAUUUUUUGAAAUUAGUCUGUUGGCAACUUCCAAUGUAUGUAGAAAUGUAUGUACCUAAGAAUGAGCAGAAAAAGCAUGGGACAUGCUGUUUAUCCUGGGGCAAAGAAAGAUUACCCCCACUGGAUAUAUUUUAAAAGGCGACAGGAAGCAAAAAAUAAAGUUGUGUUUUGCAUACAACAUGAGUUGUGCUUAGUCAACACACCAUAAAUAGUAUUAAAGGGAAGAAAACUGAUGGGCCGUGGUGCUAGGAGUUGGGCGGGGGGCAGCGCAGUGUGAAGAAUGAAUAAAUUGGAAGCGAUGCUUUUGUGUGUUGGGGCCUCUUGGGGUUGCUUUUGUCCUUAUGCUCCCUCCCAUGUGACCUGUGGGAUCUGCCAUGCUUAGGAGCUUAGGAAGGCCUCUCUGUCCUGGGGAUGCCUGAGAGAGCUUUCUCUCAUCUUAGGUCUGUCCUGAUUUGCUGUGGAAAAGGUAAAAUGACAAGGGCUAAUGUUCAGAUGUGGCUUCCAGUAAAGGGACUCUGGUUUUUGUAUUAUGCCAGAGAAACAACAUAGUCUAGUCCAGUCCAUGACGGUUGAUCCUAAGUGCCUGGGAAUAAAAUCUUAUUGAAUUUAUUAAAACCAUCAUCAUGUGCUUGAAGUGUUCCUUCUCCUCCUGAGGGUGAUGGUAUCAAAUGACUGAAUGAGAAAAUGGAGCAAUGGGUUCUGACCAGUCCUCAAUUUAUCUUUACUUGUGAGAUGGCUAAUGACUUUUUUUAGAGAGAA
Molecule: long non-coding RNA, 1457 nt
Filed under: Homo sapiens (human)
Lineage: Eukaryota; Metazoa; Chordata; Mammalia; Primates; Hominidae
Description: HSALNT0119219
Source: RNAcentral